GAUGAACGCUGGCGGCGUGCCUAAUACAUGCAAGUCGUGCGAACGGACGAGAAGCUUGCUUCUCUGAUGUUAGCGGCGGACGGGUGAGUAACACGUGGAUAACCUACCUAUAAGACUGGGAUAACUUCGGGAAACCGGAGCUAAUACCGGAUAAUAUUUUGAACCGCAUGGUUCAAAAGUGAAAGGCGGUCUUGCUGUCACUUAUAGAUGGAUCCGCGCUGCAUUAGCUAGUUGGUAAGGUAACGGCUUACCAAGGCAACGAUGCAUAGCCGACCUGAGAGGGUGAUCGGCCACACUGGAACUGAGACACGGUCCAGACUCCUACGGGAGGCAGCAGUAGGGAAUCUUCCGCAAUGGGCGAAAGCCUGACGGAGCAACGCCGCGUGAGUGAUGAAGGUCUUCGGAUCGUAAAACUCUGUUAUUAGGGAAGAACAUAUGUGUAAGUAACUGUGCACAUCUUGACGGUACCUAAUCAGAAAGCCACGGCUAACUACGUGCCAGCAGCCGCGGUAAUACGUAGGUGGCAAGCGUUAUCCGGAAUUAUUGGGCGUAAAGCGCGCGUAGGCGGUUUUUUAAGUCUGAUGUGAAAGCCCACGGCUCAACCGUGGAGGGUCAUUGGAAACUGGAAAACUUGAGUGCAGAAGAGGAAAGUGGAAUUCCAUGUGUAGCGGUGAAAUGCGCAGAGAUAUGGAGGAACACCAGUGGCGAAGGCGACUUUCUGGUCUGUAACUGACGCUGAUGUGCGAAAGCGUGGGGAUCAAACAGG
This 766-nucleotide ribosomal RNA is filed under the name Staphylococcus aureus. RNAcentral describes it as "bacterial SSU rRNA". It matches the Rfam family "Bacterial small subunit ribosomal RNA", at positions 28 to 776 of the family's 1533-position model. The record is from RNAcentral. Lineage: Bacteria; Bacillati; Bacillota; Bacilli; Caryophanales; Staphylococcaceae.